GUCUACAGCCAUGCCACUCUGAACAAGCCCAAUUCCCUCCGAUCUCGGAAGUUAAGCAGGGUCGAAUCUGGUUAGUAUUUGGAUGGGAGAGCACCUAGGAAGACGAGGUGCUGUAGGGA
RNAcentral lists this ribosomal RNA (119 nucleotides) under Pteropus alecto (black flying fox). The record is from RNAcentral. Lineage: Eukaryota; Metazoa; Chordata; Mammalia; Chiroptera; Pteropodidae.